AUAUCAUACAUAUAUGCUUAUAGCAUCUGCAUAUAAAAUGCUUUUAUUCAUAAUAACAUCUCCAACGUCUAAAGUUUGUUCUGAUCAGUGAUCACAUAACUCGAACUGGAACAAGCUUGAGAGGUACUUUCUUGACGGUAGUAAGAGUACCAGCUUCUUCUGUGUCGAUAUCCUUAUGUGUCAUUCCAUCAGGAACUCUCCAAUCAAAGAAGUAAAGCAAGUUCAAGAGUCCCAACUCAACAGUAGCAAUCCCCAUAGGCAUCCCAGGACACAUCCUUCGACCAGACCCAAAUGGUAAGAGCUCGUAAUGUUGUCCUCUAUAAUCCACAUGACUAUCAAUAAACCUCUCCGGGUUAAACUCCUAAAUACAUAGUGUGAACAUAUUUAUGUAGAGUUUGACUGAGAAGCUCUAUACAUGUUACAUGUGUCCAUUUUAGUGUGAACGCAUUUAUUAUAAUGUUUUUACACGUGACAUGUGUCCGGCUUAGUGUAAAUGCAUUUAUUACUAUGCUUAUUUGGGAUUUGUAUAAUAGUGAUACAUCCUUUUUGGUAGUUCUUUCUCCACAUGUUUUAAUAUCCCCGCCACAUGUUUUAAGAAAAGGCCAAUUCUUCUAAAAACCAUGUCUAUGGCCCAGCCUUUUAUCAACUCCCCAUAUGAACAAAACCCUUCUCGUAUCUCGGAACCACAUAUUUCGAGAUUGAGUGAUUAUUUUUUCUUUCGGAAAAUAAGUCCUAUCUAUACUGCAAUUUGUAAAAUUGUCUUCGGUAAUAAGAUAUGCUAAAUGUUAGUUUGUGUAUAAUACAAACAUUAAAAAUAAUACUCAUAUCAUACAUAUAUGCUUAUAGCAUCUGCAUAUAAAAUGCUUUUAUUCAUAAUAACAUCUCCAACGUCUAAAGUUUGUUCUGAUCAGUGAUCACAUAACUCGAACUGGAACAAGCUUGAGAGGUACUUUCUUGACGGUAGUAAGAGUACCAGCUUCUUCUGUGUCGAUAUCCUUAUGUGUCAUUCCAUCAGGAACUCUCCAAUCAAAGAAGUAAAGCAAGUUCAAGAGUCCCAACUCAACAGUAGCAAUCCCCAUAGGCAUCCCAGGACACAUCCUUCGACCAGACCCAAAUGGUAAGAGCUCGUAAUGUUGUCCUCUAUAAUCCACAUGACUAUCAAUAA
Molecule: long non-coding RNA, 1165 nt
Filed under: Brassica napus (rape)
Lineage: Eukaryota; Viridiplantae; Streptophyta; Magnoliopsida; Brassicales; Brassicaceae
Description: long non-coding RNA (BNAP_LNC014907)
Source: RNAcentral